Molecule: long non-coding RNA, 1109 nt
Organism: Sapajus apella (tufted capuchin)
Lineage: Eukaryota; Metazoa; Chordata; Mammalia; Primates; Cebidae
Exons: 2
Source: RefSeq, a predicted model, not a curated record
CCCAUAAGCCACUGCACUCCAGGCUGGGCAACAGAGCAAGAUCCUAUCUCUUAAAAACAGAAGCAAAAAUGAAACCCAUCAAUGUCAGAACUUACUUACUUUUCUCAGGUACCCAAGGCCAAGGACUUUAGCUUCUGAAUCUCUCAUUUCCUCAGGUCCCAGCAUCUUGUCCAGGGACCCUCCCUAUCAACCAAAGACCUCAGACUUCAGAUCUCCACCUACCUAUUCAGAGACCUCUGUCUGUCUGAUAGUCCUCUCAGAAACUCCAUCAAAACUCAGUCACAGAUGAUCCCUGUAUCCCUGAACUGUCUUCCAAAGUCCUGAGACGUAAUUUGGGAUCACCUGCACCCUCCACAUUGAAGGGAGGGAUAAGGCUAGUGUGAUCAAGCACCAAGCCUGUCAAAGCAGGCACAGGACGACCAAGCCAAAUCUCAGGCUUGGGAGAUUUGAGAAGAUGCAACAAUGAUUGAGCAGGAUCACGAACAAGAAGCAGCUUCCCACUGAGCCAUGAUGACCCGUUUCAAGACCAAGAAGAGAAAUUCCUCCCAGACCAGGAAGGGGCUGAGGUGGAGGCCAGGAUUGGAACUGUCCCUAGCCAUGGGCCUCCGGGAAGAGCAGGAGCUUGACUCCGGCUAUUGGUAGGCAGUCUGGCUUGAGGGCCAGGACAAGGGACAUCCAAGCUCCAGAGGAGGCCAAGAUGGUACCUCAGGACUUGGCCAUGUAGAUGAGUCACCUCAGGACCUCCAUGAGGCUGAAGAGUUAACACCAGCCAUGGAUAAGUCUAAGUAGCUACUUCUCUCCCUAGAGACAGGAACUGUGCCUAGUCUCAUUAGUCCUAGCCUGAGUCCACUGUAAAUCCAGAUUAAGGCUAGCAGAAUCUAAGCUGCAGGUCCCAGCUGAGGACAAAGCUGAAUGGCAGCCCUAACCUUGGCCUCAGGCCUGGACAAGGGGUAUCUGGGACUGGGGAUGAUGCUGAGUAGCUGCAUCCAGGGUCCUACCCUAAGUCAGAACCAGGGUCUAUCCUAAGGUAGGCUGAGGCGUUACUUGGGUAGAAGUGGGCAUAGGGUGAAGGACUCUUCAGAGGUGAGCCUGUUGAAUAAAUCCAGACA